RNAcentral lists this ribosomal RNA (2929 nucleotides) under Salmonella enterica subsp. enterica serovar Waycross. Its description in RNAcentral is "23S ribosomal RNA". It matches the Rfam family "Bacterial large subunit ribosomal RNA". Lineage: Bacteria; Pseudomonadati; Pseudomonadota; Gammaproteobacteria; Enterobacterales; Enterobacteriaceae. The record is from RNAcentral.
GGGUUGUGAGGUUAAGCGACUAAGCGUACACGGUGGAUGCCCUGGCAGUCAGAGGCGAUGAAGGGCGUGCUAAUCUGCGAUAAGCGCCGGUAAGGUGAUAUGAACCGUUAUAACCGGCGAUACCCGAAUGGGGAAACCCAGUGUGAUUCGUCACACUAUCAUUAACUGAAUCCAUAGGUUAAUGAGGCGAACCGGGGGAACUGAAACAUCUAAGUACCCCGAGGAAAAGAAAUCAACCGAGAUUCCCCCAGUAGCGGCGAGCGAACGGGGAGGAGCCCAGAGCCUGAAUCAGCAUGUGUGUUAGUGGAAGCGUCUGGAAAGGCGCGCGAUACAGGGUGACAGCCCCGUACACAAAAGCGCAUGUGCUGUGAGCUCGAUGAGUAGGGCGGGACACGUGGUAUCCUGUCUGAAUAUGGGGGGACCAUCCUCCAAGGCUAAAUACUCCUGACUGACCGAUAGUGAACCAGUACCGUGAGGGAAAGGCGAAAAGAACCCCGGCGAGGGGAGUGAAAAAGAACCUGAAACCGUGUACGUACAAGCAGUGGGAGCACAGGUUUACCUGUGUGACUGCGUACCUUUUGUAUAAUGGGUCAGCGACUUAUAUUCUGUAGCAAGGUUAACCGAAUAGGGGAGCCGCAGGGAAACCGAGUCUUAAUUGGGCGUUAAGUUGCAGGGUAUAGACCCGAAACCCGGUGAUCUAGCCAUGGGCAGGUUGAAGGUUGGGUAACACUAACUGGAGGACCGAACCGACUAAUGUUGAAAAAUUAGCGGAUGACCUGUGGCUGGGGGUGAAAGGCCAAUCAAACCGGGAGAUAGCUGGUUCUCCCCGAAAGCUAUUUAGGUAGCGCCUCGUGAAUUCAUCUCCGGGGGUAGAGCACUGUUUCGGCUAGGGGGCCAUCCCGGCUUACCAACCCGAUGCAAACUGCGAAUACCGGAGAAUGUUAUCACGGGAGACACACGGCGGGUGCUAACGUCCGUCGUGAAGAGGGAAACAACCCAGACCGCCAGCUAAGGUCCCAAAGUCAUGGUUAAGUGGGAAACGAUGUGGGAAGGCCCAGACAGCCAGGAUGUUGGCUUAGAAGCAGCCAUCAUUUAAAGAAAGCGUAAUAGCUCACUGGUCGAGUCGGCCUGCGCGGAAGAUGUAACGGGGCUAAACCAUGCACCGAAGCUGCGGCAGCGACGCUGAUGCGUUGUUGGGUAGGGGAGCGUUCUGUAAGCCUGUGAAGGUGGCCUGUGAGGGUUGCUGGAGGUAUCAGAAGUGCGAAUGCUGACAUAAGUAACGAUAAAGCGGGUGAAAAGCCCGCUCGCCGGAAGACCAAGGGUUCCUGUCCAACGUUAAUCGGGGCAGGGUGAGUCGACCCCUAAGGCGAGGCCGAAAGGCGUAGUCGAUGGGAAACGGGUUAAUAUUCCCGUACUUGGUGUUACUGCGAAGGGGGGACGGAGAAGGCUAUGUUGGCCGGGCGACGGUUGUCCCGGUUUAAGCGUGUAGGUGUGUGUUCCAGGUAAAUCCGGUUCACUUUAACACUGAGGCGUGACGACGAGGCACUACGGUGCUGAAGCAACAAAUGCCCUGCUUCCAGGAAAAGCCUCUAAGCAUCAGGUAACAUCAAAUCGUACCCCAAACCGACACAGGUGGUCAGGUAGAGAAUACCAAGGCGCUUGAGAGAACUCGGGUGAAGGAACUAGGCAAAAUGGUGCCGUAACUUCGGGAGAAGGCACGCUGACACGUAGGUGAAGUGAUUUACUCAUGGAGCUGAAGUCAGUCGAAGAUACCAGCUGGCUGCAACUGUUUAUUAAAAACACAGCACUGUGCAAACACGAAAGUGGACGUAUACGGUGUGACGCCUGCCCGGUGCCGGAAGGUUAAUUGAUGGGGUCAGCGCAAGCGAAGCUCCUGAUCGAAGCCCCGGUAAACGGCGGCCGUAACUAUAACGGUCCUAAGGUAGCGAAAUUCCUUGUCGGGUAAGUUCCGACCUGCACGAAUGGCGUAAUGAUGGCCAGGCUGUCUCCACCCGAGACUCAGUGAAAUUGAACUCGCUGUGAAGAUGCAGUGUACCCGCGGCAAGACGGAAAGACCCCGUGAACCUUUACUAUAGCUUGACACUGAACAUUGAGCCUUGAUGUGUAGGAUAGGUGGGAGGCUUUGAAGUGUGGACGCCAGUCUGCAUGGAGCCGACCUUGAAAUACCACCCUUUAAUGUUUGAUGUUCUAACGUGGACCCGUUACCCGGGUUGCGGACAGUGUCUGGUGGGUAGUUUGACUGGGGCGGUCUCCUCCUAAAGAGUAACGGAGGAGCACGAAGGUUGGCUAAUCCUGGUCGGACAUCAGGAGGUUAGUGCAAUGGCAUAAGCCAGCUUGACUGCGAGCGUGACGGCGCGAGCAGGUGCGAAAGCAGGUCAUAGUGAUCCGGUGGUUCUGAAUGGAAGGGCCAUCGCUCAACGGAUAAAAGGUACUCCGGGGAUAACAGGCUGAUACCGCCCAAGAGUUCAUAUCGACGGCGGUGUUUGGCACCUCGAUGUCGGCUCAUCACAUCCUGGGGCUGAAGUAGGUCCCAAGGGUAUGGCUGUUCGCCAUUUAAAGUGGUACGCGAGCUGGGUUUAGAACGUCGUGAGACAGUUCGGUCCCUAUCUGCCGUGGGCGCUGGAGAACUGAGGGGGGCUGCUCCUAGUACGAGAGGACCGGAGUGGACGCAUCACUGGUGUUCGGGUUGUCAUGCCAAUGGCACUGCCCGGUAGCUAAAUGCGGAAGAGAUAAGUGCUGAAAGCAUCUAAGCACGAAACUUGCCCCGAGAUGAGUUCUCCCUGAGACUUAGAGUCUCCUGAAGGAACGUUGAAGACGACGACGUUGAUAGGCCGGGUGUGUAAGCGCAGCGAUGCGUUGAGCUAACCGGUACUAAUGAACCGUGAGGCUUAACCUUACAACGCCGAAG